Molecule: long non-coding RNA, 530 nt
Filed under: Homo sapiens (human)
Lineage: Eukaryota; Metazoa; Chordata; Mammalia; Primates; Hominidae
Description: HSALNT0336239
Source: RNAcentral
AGUGUUCGGGGCCGUUUUGGCGGCUAUGCAGGAUUGGCAGGAGCUGCGAUGCUCACACUUGCCUCGCCGACCGCCAUUUCACAUCCAGCAGAGGAGGCGGGGGCAGCCGCUGAGACGGUUUUUCACAAGGCUUUCUCCAUAUUUACGUGCUUGUAACUCUGGCAUGACCUUUGCUCCAGUCUCUACCAGAGGGCGGUGCCUGGAUUGAAGUGGAAAAGCCCUGUUUUCCAGCCAUGACCCAGGGAGCAAGCACUGACUCCUCAGGGGAACAGGAGACCUGCCAACUAGGACCCUGGGAGCCCCCAUGCUGGCAGUGCCCUGGGUCAUCUCAGGCUCAUCAGCAAAUCCUGGGGGGAGAGCGGGGCUGGAGGGCGAAGAAGCCCAGGAGAGUUCCUGGCUCAGAACCCCUCUCUGAGGCUCCCAAUACAGAGCCCAGGCCCCACACCCAGGGCCUCUGAGUAUUUUUGUUUAUUGUAUGUAAAAUACUAGUGUAUUUUUGUUUAAGUCUCACAGGUAAACAGGUUCUCUCA